This 254-nucleotide ribosomal RNA is filed under the name uncultured bacterium. RNAcentral's name for it is "partial 16S ribosomal RNA". It matches the Rfam family "Bacterial small subunit ribosomal RNA", at positions 524 to 776 of the family's 1533-position model. The record is from RNAcentral.
UACGUAGGCAGCAAGCGUUGUUCGGAGUUACUGGGCGUAAAGGGUGUGUAGGCGGUUAUUUAAGUUUGGUGUGAAAUCUCCCGGCUCAACCGGGAGGGUGCGCCGAAUACUGAAUGACUUGGAGUGUGGGAGAGGAAAGUGGAAUUCCUGGUGUAGCGGUGAAAUGCGUAGAUAUCAGGAGGAACACCGGUGGUGUAGACGGCUUUCUGGACCGUAACUGACGCUGAGACACGAAAGCGUGGGUAGCAAACAGG